CACGUAGGGCGCGAGCGUUGUCCGGAAUUAUUGGGCGUAAAGAGCUCGUAGGCGGCCUGUUGCGUCCGCUGUGAAAGCCCGGGGCUUAACCCCGGGUCGGCAGUGGAUACGGGCAGGCUAGAGGUAGGUAGGGGAGAAUGGAAUUCCCGGUGUAGCGGUGAAAUGCGCAGAUAGUCGGGAGGAACACCGGUGGCGAAGGCGGUUCUCUGGGCAUGUCCUGACGCUGAGGAGCGAAAGUGUGGGGAGCGAACAGG
This 254-nucleotide ribosomal RNA is filed under the name uncultured bacterium. Its description in RNAcentral is "partial 16S ribosomal RNA". It matches the Rfam family "Bacterial small subunit ribosomal RNA", at positions 524 to 776 of the family's 1533-position model. The record is from RNAcentral.